RNAcentral lists this ribosomal RNA (528 nucleotides) under uncultured soil bacterium. RNAcentral describes it as "bacterial SSU rRNA". It matches the Rfam family "Bacterial small subunit ribosomal RNA", at positions 26 to 536 of the family's 1533-position model. The record is from RNAcentral.
AGGAUGAACGCUGGCGGCGUGCCUAAUACAUGCAAGUCGAACGAGGUGCUUUUGUAGCAAUACGAGAGUAUCCUAGUGGCGAACGGGUGAGUAACGCGUUGGUGACCUACCCCAAAGUGUGGAAUAACAGUCCGAAAGGAUUGCUAAUACCGCAUGUGGUUAUCGGGCUUAGAAACUGAUAACUAAAGGAGCAAUUCGCUUUGGGAGGGACCUGCGUCCCAUCAGCUAGUUGGUGAGGUAACGGCUCACCAAGGCUACGACGGGUAGGGGACCUGAGAGGGUCGACCCCCCACAAUGGAACUGAAACACGGUCCAUACACCUACGGGUGGCAGCAGUAGGAAUAUGCACAAUGGGCGAAAGCCUGAUGCAGCAACGCGCGUGUGCGAAUGAAAGGCCUUCGGGGUACCGUAAAGCAACUUUUUCGAGAGAGAUGAAGAAAGGACAGUAUCUACAAGGAAUAAAGUCUACGGACUAACGUAACGUGACCAAGCCAAGCCCGGAGGUAAUCGUAGGACGGUCGGGACUUA